This 435-nucleotide ribosomal RNA is filed under the name uncultured bacterium. RNAcentral's name for it is "partial 16S ribosomal RNA". It matches the Rfam family "Bacterial small subunit ribosomal RNA", at positions 28 to 507 of the family's 1533-position model. The record is from RNAcentral.
GAUGAACGCUGGCGGUAUGCUUAACACAUGCAAGUCGAACGGACUCUUCGGAGUUUUUCUCGGACGAGGGUGUAACGCGUGAGAAUCUUGCUUUGUGGUCGGCCCAACUACUGGACUCGGUUGCCAAUACCAGAUGUGCCCAAAUGUAGAAUAGAAAUUUCAUGAAGAUGAGCUAGCGUCUGAUGAGCUAUUUGGUGUGGUAAAUGCUCACCAAGGCAGCGAUCAGUCGCUUGUCUGGGAGGAUGACCGGCCACACUGGGAAUGAGACGCGGCCCAGACUAAUAUGGGAGGCAGCAGUGGAGCAUUUUGCGGCAUGGGCGAAAGACUGACGGAGCAAUACCGCGUGAGGGAAGAAGGCUUUUGGGUUGUAAACAUCUUUAAUUAGCGAAGAACAAAAUGACGGUACCUAAGGAAUCAGCAUCGGCUAACUCCGUG